This 71-nucleotide transfer RNA is filed under the name Angiostrongylus costaricensis. It matches the Rfam family "tRNA", at positions 6 to 65 of the family's 71-position model. Rfam says of the family: Transfer RNA (tRNA) molecules are approximately 80 nucleotides in length. Their secondary structure includes four short double-helical elements and three loops (D, anti-codon, and T loops). Lineage: Eukaryota; Metazoa; Nematoda; Chromadorea; Rhabditida; Metastrongylidae. The record is from Rfam by way of RNAcentral.
GAUGGCCGAGCGGUCCAAGGCGCUGGUUUUAGGCACCUGUCCCUUCCGGGGCGUGAGUUCGAAUCCCACUC